Molecule: ribosomal RNA, 446 nt
Filed under: uncultured bacterium
Lineage: Bacteria
Description: partial 16S ribosomal RNA
Rfam family: Bacterial small subunit ribosomal RNA
Source: RNAcentral
CCUACGGGGGGCUGCAGUCGAGAAUCAUUCACAAUGGGGGAAACCCUGAUGGUGCGACGCCGCGUGGGGGAAUGAAGGUCUUCGGAUUGUAAACCCCUGUCAUGUGGGAGCAAAUUAAAAAGAUAGUACCACAAGAGGAAGAGACGGCUAACUCUGUGCCAGCAGCCGCGGUAAUACAGAGGCCUCAAGCGUUGUUCGGAAUCACUGGGCGUAAAGCGUGCGUAGGCUGUUUCGUAAGUCGUGUGUGAAAGGCGCGGGCGCAACCCGCGGACGGCACAUGAUACUGCGAGACUAGAGUAAUGGAGGGGGAACCGGAAUGCUCGGUGUAGCAGUGAAAUGCGUAGAUAUCGAGAGGAACACUCGUGGCGAAGGCGGGUUCCUGGACAUUAACUGACGCUGAGGCACGAAGGCCAGGGGAGCGAAAGGGAUUAGAUACCCCUGUAGUC